This is a long non-coding RNA of Polistes dominula (European paper wasp), 1216 nucleotides long. Lineage: Eukaryota; Metazoa; Arthropoda; Insecta; Hymenoptera; Vespidae. The record is from RefSeq and is a predicted model, not a curated record.
UAUUAAAAUAAAGUAAUUGUAGUUACUGGAAAAAUAGAUAUGUCUGUUUUAUACGUCAAUACUUUGAAUGAAAAGCCAUUGUCCUUUCUAUACAAUGAUGCCUUCGUUGAGUUCAGUGAACAGUGAAAACAGAAACUACUGGUUAGGUAAAUGGACUUGGCAAACUUUAUUUUGGCCUUGUCUCGUUGAAGAAUAUUCUUUACUUUAUAGUUCUCUUUUCAAUAUAUUUCCCUCUUUCUCUAGUUUUUUCCUUUUUUUUUUGUUAUUUACAGAUCAGAAUACAGCUUUGUGCAGUUUGAGAAAUAAUAUGUUGAUAUACAUAUAUAUGUUGAAUAUAUAUAACGUGCAAUGAACUUUCUCAACCUUCGAGAUCCUGAACCAUGAGAGGAGACCAUUUUUCCCUUUCAUCGAGUAAAAUGUAUUUUUAGUCGUCUGUGUUCUUCGACGCUGUACAAAAAGGAAGGAAAGAGUGCACAAAUAUAAUAUCGAGUAUACAUUUAAAAGAAGAAAAAACAUUAAAUCGUACCAAUAACAUAAUCAACGCUUAUUCAAUGCAACCCCUCGACAUACACGUGAUGACUCAUCACUGAUCGUUCUCAAGUAAUUUCCGAUUCACUUAUAAGCGAUCUGAGAGAAACCAUAGAAAAUGUGGAAAAAGAUAUGGGACUUUAAAACAACAACAACAACAACAACAACAACAAAAAAACAACAUCAAAGUUCUAUAUUUCAUUAAUAUAUCUAUUGCAACGGAUCGAUAUAGCAGAGAUUGUAAAGAAAAAUAAAUUCAAGGAUGCUUAUGUAGACAUUUUUUGCUUGAAAAUUACAAACAAACGUGAAAUAGAAUACAUAUCGUCCAACUCAUCGAUUGCAGCAUGAAGAAGUGAAACGUCAUUCGCGAUCAACCUCGAUUCAUUUCCUUCGAAGGAUAAUAUGUUGUGUCAGGAUUUUGAAAUGUAUUCAACAACAUGAUCGCUCCAAUUUCAUUGCAACACACACGAUUUCUAACAGACAUCAUUUUAUAUUGCAUUGAAGCAAUUUAUCAAAACAAACAGGAAGACAAUAAUUAAGAUUCGAUGUUUAUCUUUACAACACGUUCAAAAAAUUCAAAUUCAAGAACAAUUGAAUUAAACUACGACAAAAUUUGAUCUGACACCAAAGAAUAUUUUGAAAAAAAUAUUUAUAAUUUAUUAACAAUGUUAAUUGUUUAAUCGAUACA